UACAGAGGUCUCAAGCGUUGUUCGGAUUCAUUGGGCGUAAAGGGUGCGUAGGCGGCGCGGUAAGUCGGGUGUGAAAUCUUGGAGCUUAACUCCGAAACUGCAUUCGAUACUGCCGUGCUUGAGGACUGGAGAGGAGACUGGAAUUUACGGUGUAGCGGUGAAGUGCGUAGAUAUCGUAAGGAAGACCAGUGGCGAAGGCGGGUCUCUGGACAGUUCCUGACGCUGAGACACGAAGGCCAGGGGAGCAAACGGG
This 253-nucleotide ribosomal RNA is filed under the name uncultured bacterium. RNAcentral describes it as "partial 16S ribosomal RNA". It matches the Rfam family "Bacterial small subunit ribosomal RNA", at positions 524 to 776 of the family's 1533-position model. The record is from RNAcentral.